AACAACUUUUGGCAACGGAUCUCUUGGUUCUCCCAUCGAUGAAAAACGCAGCGAAUUGCGAUAAGUAAUGUGAAUUGCAGAAGUGAAUCAUCGAAUCUUUGAACGCACCUUGCGCUCCCUGCAGAUCUAAUCUGGGGAGCAUGCCUGUUUGAGGGCCGCGAAUUGUUUCGAACGGCAGCUUUCUUCCUUUUUUUUGCGAGAGAGUUGGCGGAUCGGUAGUGAGGGCUGCCAGUUACCAUGGCUCCCUCGAAAUGCAU
RNAcentral lists this ribosomal RNA (257 nucleotides) under Pseudozyma sp. JS05. Its description in RNAcentral is "5.8S ribosomal RNA". The stretch from base 4 to 158 matches the Rfam family "5.8S ribosomal RNA". Rfam says of the family: 5.8S ribosomal RNA (5.8S rRNA) is a component of the large subunit of the eukaryotic ribosome. Lineage: Eukaryota; Fungi; Basidiomycota; Ustilaginomycetes; Ustilaginales; Ustilaginaceae. The record is from RNAcentral.